RNAcentral lists this long non-coding RNA (1226 nucleotides) under Gallus gallus (chicken). Lineage: Eukaryota; Metazoa; Chordata; Aves; Galliformes; Phasianidae. The record is from RNAcentral.
GGACAAUAAAGAGCAGUGCAAACAGGAGCUUUCAUCUAAACUUAUGAUCCACUUGUUUUUGAAAUUGAGUUUUUCCUUUAACCAUUUGCAUGUUUUGAGGAAAGCCUUAAUAAAUUACUUUUCUUUAGAUUAUGGGAAGUAAUUUGAGUAUUAUUAGCUCAUUUUGCAUAUUAAAAUAAAGUGUCUCCUGCUAAUUUGAUUUCCAGUUCAAGUUCUGCAGUUUAAGUCUCCCUCAUGGGAUUUAACUAGUUACCUUACUACAGGAUUAAGAUGUGCUGGAGGACAGAUGUAAAUAAUCCAUCAUAUGCAGCUGAUACUGCAUAGAUAUUUUUAUAAUAUCUUCCUCUGUUGUUGCUGUGACACUGCAAGUUUUGAUAAAAAAUACAGGAGCUGGAGAACUCAAUUGCUACAGGAGCUACUAGGGUAAAGGAAAUUCUGGAUUUGUCACUUAGCUUGAAGUGUUGGUGUCCAGUGGGUAGCUUUAUGGUUUUUUUAACCUGAAAAAGCUAUAAUAUAUAUGGCCCAGCUCUUCUUAGAGACCUAGGAAGGUCUAGCAGACAUCUCUGGUGUGCUAGUGACCUGCCAAGUGAUCAUGUUUUGGGGAGAUGGAGGCCAAGGGAGAGUUUAAGACAACUGAAAGAGAUGAGUCUGAAGUACUAAAUUGCCUCCAUAACUGCUCUUGCUGUUCCUGCAGUCCUGCUGGUCCAGAUUCCAGUGGUAGCUCUUGAGUUGAAAGGUUAAUGACUCAUUUUCUGAGCAGUGCAGUUUUCUUUCAUUUUUCAUUUACAAUUAUCUCCACUGCUUUAAAAACUGAAAGGCACUUCCAAAAAGCGUUGUACUCAGGCGUUAUUGCUGUCAAUUAAAGUUAUUAAAUCAUACAUCUUCACAAAUGAAAUCCAAAUACACCAUUAAUAUGUUUCCGUUGCUCUAUUGCCACUCCAUUAUGGAAGUGACAAGUGAGGUAUUGAAGCAGCUCUGGAAGUUGGUGGCUACAACCAUGUACAAAUUUUGAAUACUGCUAAAUGCUGCUUAGCAAAAAGCAUGCCUACUAAUUCCACCAAUCUUCACAACGUGUUCCUAUUUGGGGUUUGUCUCAAUACCACUGGAAGGGUUUGAACUUUUGGAUUUCGGAUGUGCUUUUUUGAUAUUUUUUUAACCUGUUCAUUUUCCAUCAAAGGAGGUCACCUCUUCACCUUUCUUUUAAUCUUUCCUCCCAUUCAGACCCU